AACAAAAUUCAUGAUUCCUGUUUUCUUUUCGCCCAUUUCAAAUGGAGCUUGCUGAGAUCCCAUCACAGCAGGCAUUCUGUCUCUCCUUAUCUGACUUGAAGCUCACAAUUUGCCUGGGAGGGUCAACUGAUUAUGGACCUAACUUCAGGUCAUCAUCACCAGCUUCUGCAGACCUGGGCUCUGUAACCAAGUCAAGCCAGCUCACUGGAGAGAUCAUUGAGGCUGGAAACAAAGCAGGAAGCAAUGAAGAAAUCAGGAACACCACCCCUCUCUUGAGCACCUAGAGGUGCCAUGGUUGGCCAUGUUUUAGUCUCUCUGACCCUUCUAGUGCAUAUGUAAAAAUCAGGAGGUGUGAGCACUUAGAGAAAAGGCAUGUGUAAGGCACCUUGGCUUGUGCCAGGCAUCAAUGACUUAAUAAGAAUAGUUAUUCCUUCCCUUUCA
RNAcentral lists this long non-coding RNA (441 nucleotides) under Cavia porcellus (domestic guinea pig). RNAcentral describes it as "lncRNA (ENSCPOG00000032203.1)". The record is from RNAcentral. Lineage: Eukaryota; Metazoa; Chordata; Mammalia; Rodentia; Caviidae.